GAGUUUGAUCAUGGCUCAGAUUGAACGCUGGCGGCAUGCCUUACACAUGCAAGUCGAGCGGCAGCGCGGGGGCAACCCUGGCGGCGAGCGGCGAACGGGUGAGUAAUGCAUCGGAACGUGUCCUCUUGUGGGGGAUAACCAGUCGAAAGACUGGCUAAUACCGCAUGAGAUCGAGAGAUGAAAGCAGGGGACCGCAAGGCCUUGCGCGAGAGGAGCGGCCGAUGCCGGAUUAGCUAGUUGGUGGGGUAAAGGCCUACCAAGGCGACGAUCCGUAGCUGGUCUGAGAGGACGACCAGCCACACUGGGACUGAGACACGGCCCAGACUCCUACGGGAGGCAGCAGUGGGGAAUUUUGGACAAUGGGGGCAACCCUGAUCCAGCCAUGCCGCGUGUGUGAAGAAGGCC
RNAcentral lists this ribosomal RNA (405 nucleotides) under uncultured beta proteobacterium. Its description in RNAcentral is "bacterial SSU rRNA". It matches the Rfam family "Bacterial small subunit ribosomal RNA", at positions 9 to 416 of the family's 1533-position model. The record is from RNAcentral. Lineage: Bacteria; Pseudomonadati; Pseudomonadota; Betaproteobacteria.